RNA transcript from Brassica napus (rape), 7502 nucleotides. RefSeq lists it as uncharacterized. Lineage: Eukaryota; Viridiplantae; Streptophyta; Magnoliopsida; Brassicales; Brassicaceae. The transcript has 3 exons. The record is from RefSeq and is a predicted model, not a curated record.
AAGAGUAUUAGGAUAAUGUCAUCAUCACAUCUUGCUAUCAUGUGCCUCAUCAUGAUUUCUCUUGUUCCUCUACAUCAAUAAACGCCGAUGGUUUAGACUUCGAUAGAAAAUGCGUCCGUCUCCUUGGAUGUACCGGAAGACGUUGUAUUUGCUGUAACAACGCACCGGAAAUAUUAAAAUGUUAUGAUACGCAAGCAGCAUGUAUGGCUCAUUGCACGAACCCAACUAUUUGAGUGGCUAAAGAAACUUUAAGAAAUUAAAACAUAAUCAUGUGGAAUAUCUCAAUAAAUAUAAUAUAUAAUAUAAAAUAAAUAUGUUAAUAAAAUUUUACUUUGUGUAUCAAAAUAUUAUAUAUAUCUAGCAUCUAAUUUAUAAUAUAAUUAUGAUUAAGAAUAAUACAGAUUUGUGUAGCAGAAAAAAAUAGAAUGAUUUUGGGGUUGUGUUCAAUACUGUUGACAUGCUUCAACAUUCACAUUUUAUCUUUUUAUCCUUGUAGUUUGUAUUCUUGAUCUGCUCUUUUUUUCUCUACUUGUAGUUUGUAUUUGAUAUGUUCUAUUUUUAUAGAUAUUUUAUCUUGCUUUCUUUUGCUAAAUCGAAGAGAAAAUAUCAUACCUUAACAGAUCAAUGGGAUAAUCAUGGUUAUAAGCUUCUCAGUCAAAAAAAAAUAUUUUUUCAGCUUUUUCUUUCUCUCUAAAGCUUCCCCUACUAUAUACUACCAUAUUCCUCAUUACUUCCACACAUACACGUAGAAUACCAAAUGACACAAACCUCUUGUCGUUGAUCGACAGUGACGGGCCAACUUGUUCGUGGCCGACUUAAGCCUAGAAGAUCCACAUAAUUACAAGACUACCCCUGGUCGCCGUUUACCUAGUAUUUAUGUACUCUGCCGUUGUCUUAGGCAACAUACAAUCUUUUAUCAUCUUUUAUUCACAGCAUAUAGUUUUAGGGUUUUCAGUAGAUUUGUAGAGAAGACCAAUAUUCCUUCAAAGUUUGUAUUGGAACUCCAUUGAUUUCUUACUCUGUUCUAUUUAUGAAUUCAAUUCAGACUAUUGCUAUGUUUUGCUUUAUCAUGUAGGAGUCGUUUCUCUUGUUACAUUUAGGAUAAAUUAGUGUUUUGAUGGAUUAGCCAAAACUAUAGAAUUACUAGGGUGAUUACAUAGAUACCAAUCAUUAGAAUUUCUAUUAAUUAAUGCUUAUGUUUUGGAGUAGCUAAUUAGAACCACCUGUGUUGAUUCUCUUGAUUUAGGUUGCUAGAUACAUGCAGAAACUCGUCUAGGAACAUUAGUGAACUUAUCAAAUGAGACUAUUAAACCGAUCUAAGGUACUGUCGACCGAGACUAGAAAAAUAGCAUUGAUCGACACUCAUUACGUGUUCACAAGCGAGAGCUGCAACACUGGACUUAGAUAAUUAAUCAGACUCGCAGCGACAGCGGGAUAUAUUUACAGUAGAGUUCGAGUUCUAGAAAUAUCGCACUCACACCCUUAACUUCUAUAUUUCUCUAAUCCUGAUUGCAUGACCCUAGAUUUUGUUAUUUUCUCAUAUGCUCACAAAACAACCAAACAACCAAUCCUGAUUUCCUUCCACCGUCGACCGAAACUACUUUUCCGUAGACCGCCCAUACCCACCCGAUGUUUAUCACAAGCUUGAGAACUCUUUUUUCUAUUAUGAAUGGGUUUCAAUAAGUAGGAUAUUUUAUCGGCAGAUAUGUCCUUGGGAAGGGCUUCUUAAGUUCUUAGAGUUCACUCAGCUUUGUUGAGUCUGAGGAUUCGAGUUCAUCAUGUUUCCAAGAGAAGAAUAAGUGGCUGGCCAAUCUGAGAAAACGCUUUUCCUUGGCGAAGUUGCUGCAAAGGUUAGUAUUUAUAAUCCUACUAUGCUCUCACAUAUCGCUCUUCUUAUAACUUCUCCAUUAAUGUCUACAACUGAAACUUUUGUGAUUGAAACCCCAUAUUUCAAUGUGCUAAAGUAGAUUGAUUGUGUUCCGUGAUCACAUGACUUCUCAUAAUCGCUGGGAUCGGAUGGUUGUGUUUUCCAGGACAAACCUUGAAUAGAGUGGCAUUAUAUUUUCCAUUCCGGUCUUCAGGCACGAUGAGUUAUACAUGCUUAAUGCUUAAAGUCUUGGACACAUCCAAAAACACACAAGUGAAGACAUAAUAUCAAAAUUUGUCUACAAAUAUUUCUAGGGAAGGUCAGUGGACUAACGGAAGUGCUAUGAUUGAUGGCUUGGUUUGCGCCAAGAAGAAAUUAAAGAAAAAGAUUCAAACGCUCUGACGCUUUGAGGCUCUGUUUUUUUUCAGGGUAAAUAUUUUUCUUCUGCAAACUGACUUCAAACUAAAAGUUACUGACAUACACAGCCAUUGUAAAGUGUUUUUUUUAGAUGAGUAUAAACUAAAACAAUAAGCAAUCAAUAAUACAUUUACUAGAAAACAUCAGCAUAAAACACAGACACCAUAGUGAAAUUUUGAGAAACAGAAUGGAAGACGACCAAAAUGAAAAAACAAUACCAUAACAAAAACCCAAGUUUGCUAGUAAAAAUCUAUACGAUUUAUUCACACUUAUUAUCAGCUAAGCUCAUAUAAAAAAAUUAAAAAAACAAAAUUAGAUCAAUCACAAUACGCACUACACAAAAGACAUAAUUGGCUUACAAGUUUAAUACGAUUCAGAUCUUUUAAGACCUGGUUAAUUGGUUUAACUAUAUAAAUAAAUUAUUUAUUGUAUUUAUAAUUAGUUUUCUUUGAUAUUUUGGACUAUAACCCUCUUUUCACUCAUCAAAUACAUAGUCUAUAGAUGUUGAAAUGAAAGUAUAUGCAAAGAAAGCGAGUAGAUUUGGUAAUAGAUCAUUUUAAUGAGAAAUAAAACUAUGGGAAAGCUAUUGGAGAUCGAUGGCAAACAAUAUAUAAUUGAAGAAUAACAAGCGGAGAAUACACCAACUAUCCUAAAGUAAUCUCUGUAUAAUAUGAUGCUAUGAAGUUUUCUUAUUCUUUAGACUUUGUCAUACUUGCUUCAGAGUGAUAAGGAUAGCAAAAUAAAACUAGAAAGCAGUAUGGAAACACUUUCCAUGCAAGCAUAGCUAAGUCAAGUUCAAGAAGUCAAUAGUGACAACAUAAAAUCUCAACCUAUCUUCGUUUUUUAAAAAUUAUUUUAGAUAUUUUUACGGUUUACCAGUUCACUAUUAUGUUGAACUAUUUUAUUACACGGAGGGCAAAAAUGGUGUAAAGCUUUUUUAAUUAUAACUAGAUUUUGACCCGCGCUUAGAAAGCGCGGGUUUUUUUCCGGCUAAAACCAAAGUUUACGUAGAUUAUUAUUGUGUUUAUAUAGAUUUUUUAAGUUUAAAGUCAUCAUGAUUUAUAUGGAUUUGAUCAAGCGUUUGCGUUUUUGAAAUUUGGUUGAAAUAUUUUUUAAAAUGAUGUUUGUUUGUUUAAUAGUAUAGAAAUUAUGAAAUGUAAUUAUAUCUGUCGCUAUUGGAAAGAUUGUUGCACACACAUAUAUAUAUAUAUAUAUAUAUAUCAUAUUCAAAAUAGAAAACCAAAUAUAUAAAAGGGAUUUAAUCUGUAGUUAUUAUAAAUUUUUUUUUCUAAACAUGGUCAAUAUUUAAAUUAUACUUGAAAAAUUAAAAUCUAAUUUUUUAAUUUAUGAUUUAUUAAAAUGGGUUUUGAAAGAAUGGGUUUUUGAUGACUUUUUUUUUAAAUAUUGGGUUUUAAAAAAAUGAGUUUAAAUGUUAACAAAUUCAAUUCUUAUAUCGAGGCCCAAGCCUAUGCGUGAUCUUGUAAGUUACGACAACAUCUGGACAUAUCGAACAAAGAAAUAAAAACGAAAGUCUUCUCCGAUCGAUGGCGAUUCAGCGACCGCAGGAGGACACCACAGACCCGUUCCUCUCCGAUAUGAACCGGUAACCUUUGCAAAAAAAAAUAUACAGGAACAGUUUGAUUGUUGUUUCCGAACUAAGAACAUAUCUGGACAUAUAUAAGCUGAGGAUAUUGAUGUGUUUGAAGAAGAUCUGAAGCACUAUCCGACAAAACAUGCAACCGGAUUGGUAUUAGAGAUAUUAGUUUUUUUUAAUGUGUUAGUAGAUUUCUAUAUAUUUUUUAUUAUAAGAUUGUUAAAGACCUUUGUUUAAACUCACCUGCUUCUGGUAUUUCAGGAUUGACAAACAUCUGACUUGCAUCAUAAGCAUUUGAGAUUUGAACUUCACUUAAUAAAUAAAAUAUGAAGAGCCUCUUAAGUUGAACAAAAUGCCGUGUUCUAGGUUAAUAUCUAUUAUUGCAAUAUAUAAAUGUGUAGAUCAAAACAUAAGUUGAAUAUUAGAUAUCUCUAUAUUUCCCAAUCUUAGCAAAUCGUAGAAGACAUAUUACCAUGCCUUCUGUUUACUGGCUAGCUGUGUGAAGAUUCUCUGCAAAAUUUCCCCACCGGCAGAACCCCAAUCUUUGCCCACUAAAAAGAUUAAAUAUAUACUUAUCUAUACUCCAAGACAGACAUGUUUGGCAAAUUAAGCAAUGUAUGUCUUAUUACACGAGGCAUGGAUUUUUGUUCCCUUUAAAAAGAUAAAAAGAAUUAUAUCCGUUAGCUUGUAUCUUAACAAAAUCAAUAUAUAGAAAUCACAAAUCGAUAUAGAACGUUAAAUUUACAUUUGCAUCACAUAGGAUUAGUUCCAUAGAUUCUCCAACGUCUUUCAUGAAAUGUCUCCAUGUAUGAAUAAUCUUCACUUGGAUGCGACAUGCAGUCUUGGGUGGUUUGAUAUCGUUCAAGAAAGUUAGCUGCAUAUUGUUCGCCAUUUUUUUUUCUGUAUCCAUAGGUUUGAUGAAUAUUGUGGUAUUCUGAUGCUAUAUUUAUAAUUGGUAGGUGGUACAACGGAUUUAGGUUACGCAAAUGUAGGUCACAAUAUUUUAAAGAUUUGAUAAAUAUGUUACUUUGUGGAAUAAGGAAUAUUAUGCGAGUAUAUUGUAAUUAGAAUAUACUUUUUUUAAUUUGUAAGAGUUAAUGCUAAUCCAAUUAAAGUAGGUUAGCGAAAAUUCUGUAAGUAUAACGAAAAUAUAACUAAUUGUGAUAUUAAAUAAAACUUGUAGACGAAGCAAUAUAAAUAUUUCCGGAUUUUGUUAUUAAAUAUUGUAUCUACAAUAUAUUGUUAACAAAAAUAUUUGCACAAUACAUUUGAAUUGAUUUUUUUAGAUAGUUGGUAACAAUUAAGGCAAUAACAUCGCAGAGUUUAAAAUUUGAAUUUUUGUCAAAUUUUUCGCUAUACCAACGUUAUAAGACUGUUUGAAUCAUACCAAGUAUGCGCUAAAAUGUUUCGCGUUACCUCUCUACGCUAUGUCGGUGUUCCGGUUACCGAAAGACCUGUGUAGGAAGCUCACAAGUGUGAUGUCGGAGUUCUGGUGGAGUAGUGGAGUGCGUAAAAAGAAGAUCGCUUGGGUAUCAUGGCAAAAGCUCUGUUGGAAAAAAGAGGAGGGUGGUUUAGGUUUUCAUGACAUCGAGAAAUUCAACCAAGCGCUGCUCUGUAAACAAGCAUGGAGGAUUUCGUCUCGCCCUGAAUCUCUUGUGGCUCGGGUUCUCAAAAGUAGAUAUUACAUGCGGAGCUCCUUUCUUGAAUGUGACAUGGGUGCUCGCCCAUCCUUUGCUUGGCGUAGUCUCAUGUUUGGAAGAGAGUUGUUAAUAUGAAUGAGAUCGAAAUAUUGAAGAAGCAUUUUUAUUUUUCGUGUACUAUAAGUUAUACCAACUACAGCAUUUUCAUAUAUACAUCUUUUCUUGUUUGGUCCUUGAUGUAGGUGAUGGCAGAGAUACUAACGUCUGGUGUGAGAAGUGGAUCAUUGAUGGUGUGCCUAAAAUUCCAAUGUACAGGCAAGAUAGUGUCAUUGAUCUCACUCUGACGAUAGCUGAUCUCUUGGUAGAAGGGUCGUGUCAAUGGAAUGUCAAUUUGGUGAGGCAGACGUUCACAGAUGAGGACGCCGAGUUAGUUCUCAAACUGAAACCUCACAUGAGUAGGAAGGACUCUUUUAAAUGGGGUUACACUGCCAAUGGUUGCUAUUCUUCUCAGUCGGGUAGGAAACUUUUGGAACUUUUGAAAGAGCAUCAACAACCUCUUCACGUUGGUCUCCCACCUAUUGAAAAUAAUCUGUGGAAAGCUAUCUGGAAAAUCAGAGCACCACCGAAGUUAAAACAUUUUUUGUGGAGAGUAUUGGCAGGAGCUGUGCCAGUGAAAGAACGCCUGAAUUCAAGAGGCUUGCAUUUGGAUUCCAGAUGCUGACUAUGUCAAGCUAGCUCUGAGUCUAUUUGUCAUCUUUUGUUCUCAUGUCCCUUUGCCAAGGAGGUAUGGGAUCGUUCAGGUGUGCAAUUACCACUAAAUGGUUUCUCAAGGUCUUCUGUUUUCCUCAAUGUUUAUCAUCUCAUCUUCGCCAAUGGGAGACGUUCACACUAUACACAGAACAGAGUCUUCCCCUGGGUACUGUGGCAGAUUUGGAAAACUAGAAACGCCCUGAUCUUUGAAAAUGUGCAAGCAAGUUCUUGUACUGCAGCAGCUAAGGCACUGGAAGAGGCUGACGAGUGGUCGUCAACUUCAAGGUUCCUCAAGCUUAGCCAGUGCAGGUGGAGACUUUUAACAGUUCUGUUUCGUGGUCUCCUCCUCCUGCAGGCUUGUUAAAAUGCAAUGUUGGUGUGAGCUGGAAUAGUGCUGAACGUAUAUGUGGAGCUGCUUGGAUAAUUAGGAAUCACGAUGGAAAAGCUCUUUUACACAGUAGAAGAGCCUUUACUGGUGUUAAUUCCAAGCUUGAAGCAGAGUUGCAGGGAUUUUGCUGGGUGAUGGAAAGUCGUAUAUCGACGCACCAUACGAAUAUCAUUGUGGAAUGGCCAGGGAGGCCCUUUUGAACCCAACCAGAUUCCCUUGGUUUGGUUACCUGCUAGAAAAGAUUAUUUAUGCACUUCCGUUCUUGUAUCCGUGCUCUCUAGAACAUGUUGAAGGUGCAAGGAAUAAGGUUGCAGAGGAAAUUGCAGUAAGCGUGACUAGAGACCAUCGGUGCCAAUCAUAUGUAGCUUCUGGUGGUCCUCGUUGGUUAUUGAAUAGAUUGGAGUCGGAAGCACGAAGAGCUAGUACUUGAUGCUAUUAGCUAGUGUUACGGUUGUGUGUUUGGCUUUGGGUUAGGAAAUACAACCAUCAAUUAGCAAACAAACACAAAGUUAAGUAGAAGAGUAUUAGGAUAAUGUCAUCAUCACAUCUUGCUAUCAUGUGCCUCAUCAUGAUUUCUCUUGUUCCUCUACAUCAAUUGGGAAACGCCGAUGGUUUAGACUUCGAUAGAAAAUGCGUCCGUCUCCUUGGAUGUACCGGAAGACGUUGUAUUUGCUGUAACAACGCACCGGAAAUAUUAAAAUGUUAUGAUACGCAAGCAGCAUGUAUGGCUCAUUGCACGAACCCAACUAUUUGAGUGGCUAAAGAAACUUUAAGAAAUUAAAACAUAAUCAUGUGGAAUAUCUCAAUAAAUAUAAUAUAUAAUAUAAAAUAAAUAUGUUAAUAAAA